CCUACGGGGGGCAGCAGUCGAGAAUCAUUCACAAUGGGGGAAACCCUGAUGGUGCGACGCCGCGUGGGGGAAUGAAGGUCUUCGGAUUGUAAACCCCUGUCAUGUGGGAGCAAAUUAAAAAGAUAGUACCACAAGAGGAAGAGACGGCUAACUCUGUGCCAACAGCCGCGGUAAUACAGAGGUCUCAAGCGUUGUUCGGAAUCACUGGGCGUAAAGCGUGCGUAGGCUGUUUCGUAAGUCGUGUGUGAAAGGCGCGGGCUCAACCCGCGGACGGCACAUGAUACUGCGAGACUAGAGUAAGGGAGGGGGAACCGGAAUGCUCGGUGUAGCAGUGAAAUGCGUAGAUAUCGAGAGGAACACUCGUGGCGAAGGCGGGUUCCUGGACAUUAACUGACGCUGAGGCACGAAGGCCAGGGGAGCGAAAGGGAUUAGAUACCCGGGUAGUC
RNAcentral lists this ribosomal RNA (446 nucleotides) under uncultured bacterium. RNAcentral describes it as "partial 16S ribosomal RNA". It matches the Rfam family "Bacterial small subunit ribosomal RNA", at positions 338 to 795 of the family's 1533-position model. The record is from RNAcentral.